AAGUCGUAACAAGGUUUCCGUAGGUGAACCUGCGGAAGGAUCAUUAACACGUAUCCAACGUUAAACCCCCCGUGAACCUUCAGUGCGCUCGCACUUUCUUAGAAAAGGUAGCAAUCCCUGGUAAAUCAUUGCCGAACAGUUUUGAUUCAGGGACUUCUGCGUAGACUGUGCUUGAGCGUGAGGCAAGUGGCCUGGCAUUCCUCUGCUUGUUGGUGUCUGAAAGUGUCACCAGCUCUGUACGAAUGGCGCAGUCACGAUCGCUAGAGGGCGCGAGCCCCCCUCGUCACCUUUGCAUGAAAACGGGCCUGCGCUUAAUUGUGCGGCCACCAAACUCGAACAACUGUUAACAAUGGAUAUCUUGGUUCUC
Molecule: unclassified non-coding RNA, 367 nt
Filed under: fungal sp.
Lineage: Eukaryota; Fungi
Description: partial internal transcribed spacer region
Rfam family: Eukaryotic small subunit ribosomal RNA (bases 1-46)
Source: RNAcentral